UACGGGGGGAGCAAGCGUUGUUCGGAUUUACUGGGCGUAAAGGGCGCGUAGGCGGCGUAAUAAGUCACUUGUGAAAUCUCCGGGCUUAACCCGGAGCGGCCAAGUGAUACUGUUGUGCUAGAGUGCGGAAGGGGCUACUGGAAUUCUCGGUGUAGCGGUGAAAUGCGUAGAUAUCGAGAGGAACACCUGCGGCGAAGGCGGGUAGCUGGGCCGACACUGACGCUGAGGCGCGAAAGCCAGGGGAGCGAACGGG
This 253-nucleotide ribosomal RNA is filed under the name uncultured bacterium. RNAcentral describes it as "partial 16S ribosomal RNA". It matches the Rfam family "Bacterial small subunit ribosomal RNA", at positions 524 to 776 of the family's 1533-position model. The record is from RNAcentral.